Molecule: ribosomal RNA, 402 nt
Filed under: uncultured bacterium
Lineage: Bacteria
Description: partial 16S ribosomal RNA
Rfam family: Bacterial small subunit ribosomal RNA
Source: RNAcentral
AAUAUUGCGCAAUGGGGGGAACCCUGACGCAGCGACGCCGCGUGAGUGACGAAGGCCUUCGGGUCGUAAAACUCUGUCAUUGGGGAAGAAAAAAAUGACGGUACCCAAUGAGGAAGCCCCGGCUAACUACGUGCCAGCAGCCGCGGUAAUACGUAGGGGGCAAGCGUUGUCCGGAAUUACUGGGCGUAAAGGGUGCGUAGGCGGCCUAAUAAGUCAGAUGUGAAAUACCGAGGCUCAACCUCGGAGGUGCAUUUGAAACUGUUGGGCUUGAGUGCAGGAGAGGAAAGUGGAAUUCCUAGUGUAGCGGUGAAAUGCGUAGAGAUUAGGAGGAACACCAGUGGCGAAGGCGACUUUCUGGACUGUAACUGACGCUGAGGCACGAAAGCGUGGGGAGCAAACAGG